Molecule: ribosomal RNA, 1578 nt
Filed under: Triticum aestivum (bread wheat)
Lineage: Eukaryota; Viridiplantae; Streptophyta; Magnoliopsida; Poales; Poaceae
Description: partial small subunit ribosomal RNA
Source: RNAcentral
AUGAGGAGGCCGGCGGUGGUUGCGGUGGCACUGCUCCUGCUCAUCGCAUGGCAGCCGGCGCCGGGGAGGACGGCGGCCGCGAUGGACGAGCAGGACGAGGAUCCACCCGCCCGCAGCCUGCCGCCGCCGGACGAGCAGGACGACGAUCCGCCCACACGAAGCAUGCCGCCGCCGUCAGACGAGCAGGACGACAAUCCGCCUCUGCGAAGCAUGCCGCCGCCGCCGUCGGACGAGCAGGAGGACAAUCCACCUGUGCGAAGCAUGCCGCCACCGCCGCCGUCGGACAAGCAGGAGGAUAAUCCAUCCUGGCCUGGGCUUCCAUUGUUGCCGCCGCCGCCCCCGCCGGGCUCCAUGCCACUGCCGCCGCCGCCGCCGGCGGCGGAACCAGCAGCGCCGCCGACUCGCCCACGGCGUGCGCGGCUGCCGCCGAGGCAGGAUGAUCCGCCGGAACCUGAGCCGCCGGAGCUGCCUCGCCAUAGGCGGACGCCGAAGGAUCCGACGCCGCCACGGACGGUGGUGCCACCGCAGGAACCGGGGUGGGCCGCGGUGCCGCUGCCGAUGGCACCAAUGCCGGCUCCUGGGAGGCCGAUCAACUACAGCACCACCGGCUGGACGACCAUGCUGGUGUUCGGGGACUCGACGGUGGACCCCGGGAACAACAACCGGCUGCAGACGGUGAUGAGGGCCAACUUCCUGCCGUACGGCGCGGGCUUCCUUGGCGGCAGGCCCACCGGCCGGUUCAGCAACGGCAGGCUCAUCACUGACAUACUCGCGGAAAGACUAGGUGUAGCGAGGAGCCUUCCAGGUUUCCGCGAGCCAAGGUUGAGGCCAAGGCAGCUCAGAAGGGGUGUGAGUUUUGCAUCAGCAGGCUCCGGAUACGAUGAUGCGACCGCCAGGGUAUCGAAUACACUAUCAUUUUCCAAUCAAGUCGAGGACCUAUGGCGUUACAGAAGAAACCUCCAAAGAUUAGUGGGACCAAGAAGAGCUGGUCAACUUCUCAGGAGGGCUACAUUCGUCAUAAGUGCUGGAACAACCGAUCUGUUUAACCACUAUCUUGCCACAAACCGUUCAGGAACAGAGAGUUGGCCGCCGUAUGAGAACCUACUGAUAACACGUGUCGCUAACUAUACCCAGGCAAUGAGAGCACUUGGAGGAAGGAGAUUUGUAUUUGUUGGAGUGCCCCCAGUUGGGUGUUUACCACUUGUUAGAACCUUGCUAGGCACGGGUGCAGAAACAUGCCAUGAAAACAUGAACUCCAUGGCAACUUCAUUUAACAGAAGGCUAGGCGAAGUGGUGCGCUUUCUGAGGAACCAACGAGAUAUCAGAGCUACUUUUGUUGAUGUUUAUCCGAUCAUAAGCAUGGCGACAAUAGACCCCAAAAACUUUGGGUUGACAGAGACAUCAAGAGGCUGCUGUGGAACAGGGGUUAUUGAAGUUGGGCAAACAUGCAGAGGCCGAUUAACAUGCACAGAUCCCAGCAAGUACAUGUACUGGGAUGCUGUCCACCAAACAGAGAGAAUGAACCAAAUCAUCACUGAUUACGUGAUUAUGAAUUCAAUUGGAGAAAUUUAUGCCUAG